AUAUUGGACAAUGGGCGAAAGCCUGAUCCAGCAAUGCCGCGUGAGUGAUGAAGGCCUUAGGGUUGUAAAGCUCUUUCAGCAGGGAAGAUAAUGACGGUACCUGCAGAAGAAGCCCCGGCUAACUACGUGCCAGCAGCCGCGGUAAGACGUAGGGGGCUAGCGUUGUUCGGAAUUACUGGGCGUAAAGGGCGCGUAGGCGGAUUUGCAAGUUAGGGGUGAAAUCCCGGGGCUCAACCCCGGAACUGCCUCUAAAACUGCUAAUCUAGAGUUCGGGAGAGGUGAGUGGAAUUCCGAGUGUAGAGGUGAAAUUCGUAGAUAUUCGGAGGAACACCAGUGGCGAAGGCGGCUCACUGGCCCGAAGCUGACGCUGAGGCGCGAAAGCGUGGGGAGCAAACAGG
This 398-nucleotide ribosomal RNA is filed under the name uncultured bacterium. RNAcentral's name for it is "bacterial SSU rRNA". It matches the Rfam family "Bacterial small subunit ribosomal RNA", at positions 361 to 776 of the family's 1533-position model. The record is from RNAcentral.